RNAcentral lists this transfer RNA (72 nucleotides) under Pristionchus pacificus. It matches the Rfam family "tRNA". Rfam says of the family: Transfer RNA (tRNA) molecules are approximately 80 nucleotides in length. Their secondary structure includes four short double-helical elements and three loops (D, anti-codon, and T loops). Lineage: Eukaryota; Metazoa; Nematoda; Chromadorea; Rhabditida; Neodiplogasteridae. The record is from Rfam by way of RNAcentral.
GGGGGUAUAGCUCAGUAGUAGAGCGCCCGCAUACGUAUCGGAAGGUCGGGGGUUCGACUCCCUCUGCCUGCA